Molecule: microRNA precursor, 98 nt
Organism: Colobus angolensis palliatus
Lineage: Eukaryota; Metazoa; Chordata; Mammalia; Primates; Cercopithecidae
Source: Ensembl
UUAGGUAAUUCCUCUGCUCAAAACCCUCCAGUGACUUCCAUGAUAUGAAUUAGGAAGUCAUUGGAGGGUUUUGAGCAGAGGAAUGACCUGUUUUAAAA